CUUAUCAUUUUCUAUCUACUGAGAAUAGACCAUGAGCCUGGAUAUGUCUACCUUCUUAAUCAACAUCAUUGUUCUAAUCUCCUUAACAAUACUAUCUGAUACCCCAGAUACGAACUUGCUCAUUCUGGACCUACUAUCUACUACUAUAUGGGGAGCAUACCUAGCUAACUGAGUAAAUUUAAGGGAAUACUCUUUCACACUCAUACCGCCCUGCCUGAGAUUGAUGAACUCUAACAC
RNAcentral lists this long non-coding RNA (237 nucleotides) under Capsicum annuum. Its description in RNAcentral is "long non-coding RNA (CANN_LNC004815)". The record is from RNAcentral. Lineage: Eukaryota; Viridiplantae; Streptophyta; Magnoliopsida; Solanales; Solanaceae.